CUUUUGAAAUCAAAUCCACUGAAUCACAGACAAUAAUUGUUGCUUCAUCUCACAGGGAUUGUGAGCAAUAAAUGAACUGCUCCAGGACCUCAUCACCGAAGAUCAUUGUUUCCACAGAUGUUAUACCUCUAGAGUUACUGCAUCUGGAUCCAUCCAGCUCACUGCAAACGAGAUCCAAAAGGCACUAGAAAAACUCCUGGAUGAUAACUCUUGUCUGUGCUCUUCUACAUAUAUACAUGUAUAUGUCCUGUAAAUGAUCAGUACUGGUUAUGGAGCACUGUCAGAAACAGGAAAUUACGCGAGAGGUAUCUGUCCUCCGCUUGCUGAAAUGGCCUUCAGAAGAGAUUCCUUGCUGGAGCCUCCUCUAUGCUGAUACACAAGCAAUUGCAACAGUGGGGAACAGCCUUCAGUAUCAGAGCCUCCUGGAUUUGGUCACAGAUCAGGAGCUUCAUUCAGCAGAUACUACAGGUACUGUUGGCCUGGAGAAGAUUUCUGGAGAGGGUCAUUACUGCCGGGUGGUCAAGCUGCAUCCAGCUGUAUAGGGAGCUUGCAGUCUCCUGUGCCAAGAAGUGAUCCUCACAGUGGCUCUGGGCAGAUGUUCUCCCCUGGCUCCAGCUGUGCCACCUGACACAGCAUUGUUUCAGCUCAGGGCUCUCUUGGGGCUCUUGACUGCCUACCACCUGGAGGUAUCUCUUCAUCUGCCCACAGCACUCCCUCACCUGUGUUGUGAAUCACAUUGACUCAUAUUCAUCUUUAAAAGGAAGGCAGGUUACGAUGAACCAGCUCUUUUAUUAUUAUUAUUAUUAUUUCCUGAAGAAGAUGAGGGAGCAUUCACAAGGCCCCUUCUGCUGGCAGAUCUGUGGCAGCAGUAACCUCCAGCACAGAUGUGGUGAUGGCAGCUAGGAAUGGUACUGUCUCCAGAUGGUAUAGCUGUUUGCAAAGUGAAUGCCUGUAUACUUAUAAAUAGAUACAUAUAUGUAUUUACAGCUUGUGUAUUUCUCCUUUAGAAUAUAAAUGAACUGCAGUCUACAGUGAGCAGGCUCAUCUCAGUUUCCUAAUAAAGUGGUUACUUCUGCCA
Molecule: long non-coding RNA, 1078 nt
Filed under: Struthio camelus australis
Lineage: Eukaryota; Metazoa; Chordata; Aves; Struthioniformes; Struthionidae
Description: lncRNA (ENSSCUG00000014078.1)
Source: RNAcentral